GGACUCUGUUGUCCGUCACCUGCGGGCACUGGAACAAUACGGUGCGCUUCUUUAUCAUGGCCGACCCUAAAUGAGUGGUUGAGCGGCCGAACUGCCACUGCCAUAGCUCUCUGAAGCCAGCCGAAGUUCAGGGGUCGUCAGCCGCGGAGAGCAGAUAAGGCAGAGGUGUCAUAGUGCUUUGUACCAUGAAAAUUAAAAAAACACUAAGAAGAUAUUUUCUUUUAAAAUUCUUUGCUGAGUUAUAUUAAGUUUUGAAACACUUCAAUUCCUGCCCAAGGCUGCUCUGGGAGACAUCUGGUGUUCUAGUUGGUCAGUCAUUACCAGCCAAAGAAGAGAAAUGAUGCCGAGUAUUUUUCCAGUCCUUCAGAUGCUGGAAUUCUAAUUCCUACUCCACUGAUCUGCUGUCUACCAUGUAAUGCCCUUAUGUGGAUGGAUUUAAAGAGGUGAGGAGAGAAGCAAACUUGUAAACACACACGUGCGUGCAUGUGUGUGUGUGUGUGUGCGC
RNAcentral lists this long non-coding RNA (505 nucleotides) under Urocitellus parryii (Arctic ground squirrel). RNAcentral describes it as "lncRNA (ENSUPAG00010016504.1)". Lineage: Eukaryota; Metazoa; Chordata; Mammalia; Rodentia; Sciuridae. The record is from RNAcentral.